GUUGUAGUGAAGAGAGAAUACGGGACAACUGCAGGACCACAGCUCAGCCAAGACACAACCACAUGACUGAAGACAGAGAUCAUCUGGGUCAGUGUUUCAGAAAAUGUUGCCAAGAAACUUCAAAUGCAGAUUCCUGGACCUCCGUGCAAACUACUAUAUUAGAAGCUCCCUUGCAGCUGAGUUGGCCAUAUGACUGACAGCAAGCCCUGGAAUGCAGCCAGAAGUGAUAGAAGCCUCUUUCACACCAUGCUCCUAAAAUAUUCCAAGAAAUUUUCCAAACCUACUCUUUUUAGUCUGUGCAUCUGGAAGUGAAAGUUUUAGAAAGGGUAAAGUCACUUAAUGGAAAGGGCCCAGAUCUAGCCCCUCGGAGCCAAGCUGUCCAACUAGAAAUUCUGCAUUAGUAUUUGCGACAGAUCUUUGGAGAGAAAAUGCCAAGAGUGGAUGGAGAGGCAAUGGUGAAGCUGAGGCUGAAGUCGGAGGAAGCUGUGAACCCUGCAUGGGGUACCUGAACACCAGGGCAAGUUUCUGGCCCAGAAUGGCUUCUGGGAAAGGGGAUAUGACAUCUUAGGAAGAAGGGACUGGGGGAAAGAAAGCACUUUCUGCUUCUGUGGAUAUAAACACACAGUGUUUUAUUCCCUAGUGCAACAAAACCUCAAGAUCAACAGACAAGAGCUGAAAACCCUUUCCCACCAGACACAGUGCCAUCUAAAUGUUCUCUCAAAAGAUAGCAUCUCAUAAACAAUUUCAACAAAAGGAUGUCAGCUUUUACUUUAUGUGCAUGCACAAAAUCACUUUUCAGGAAAAAAAAUGACCAUUACCGAAUCCAUCAUAAAAUUAAUUACAUUUAGUUGAUCACGUUGGCUGACUGGUUAUAACUCUUGCUGUAUUUUCCAGAAG
Molecule: long non-coding RNA, 897 nt
Filed under: Homo sapiens (human)
Lineage: Eukaryota; Metazoa; Chordata; Mammalia; Primates; Hominidae
Description: long intergenic non-protein coding RNA 499
Source: RNAcentral